RNAcentral lists this transfer RNA (74 nucleotides) under bacterium. RNAcentral describes it as "tRNA-His". It matches the Rfam family "tRNA". Rfam says of the family: Transfer RNA (tRNA) molecules are approximately 80 nucleotides in length. Their secondary structure includes four short double-helical elements and three loops (D, anti-codon, and T loops). The record is from RNAcentral.
GUGAAUGUAGUUCAACUGGUCAGAGCAUCCGAGUGUGAAUCGGAAGGUUACGGGUUCGAUUCCCGUCAUUCACC